Vicugna pacos (alpaca) is the source of this 5891-nucleotide non-coding RNA. NCBI's taxonomy places the organism in Eukaryota, Metazoa, Chordata, Mammalia, Artiodactyla, Camelidae. The record is from RefSeq and is a predicted model, not a curated record.
ACCCAACAGAUGGUUCUUCUUAAGGCAUCGUUGUCAGUUUAUAGUUCUUGCAGUGUUCAUUUUAAUAUUUUAAUGACAUUAUAGCCAAUUUUAUUCUGUCUUGGAAGUUAAUUUCUCCUCUCUCUGUUUGUUUCUCUCCCUUCCCUCCCUCCGUCUCUCUCUCUCCCCCUCCUCCCCUCUCCCUAUUCCUCUGAUUAUUUCUUUUGGAAAUAAUUCCCCUCUCACUCUGUCUCCAUAAAUCUCUGAAUCCCAGCAGAUGGAACAAGGCUGCUAUUAGGAGGGAACGGAAUCAACAGGCAAGCGGCAAGUGGGAGGCGAGCUUUACGCUCUGCGGUUUCGCCCUCGUCGGAAGACGUGGUGACAGGGCCAGAACAAAAGGUUCAUCUUUUCGUUUAUUUUCACUUCUCAGGAGACCCCAGUCCCAGGGUCUUUUUAUUAGAGAACUGUUCUGGCCCCUUUGGCUCCGCACACAGACCUUUGAGCCUCCCACAUCCUGGUAUGCUCCUGCCUCACAGACCACAUUUUUACACACACACACACACACACACACACACACACACACACACACACACACACAACCACACACACACAAAACCUAAAUCUGUACUGGCUGACUGCUAGCAAAAUAAAACAACUCUUAGCUGUUAAUUUGGCUCCUUCUUUCUGUUUUCACACCUUAAUUGAGAUAUAAUUUACAUGCCAUAAAAUUCACCCAUUUCAAGCGUGUCAUUCAAUGGUUUUUAGUUUAUUUACCCAGUUGUAUAUAGGCUGUUUCUUUUUGAAAAUGGAGCCACUGGGUGAACGGUUUGACCCCAUGUGCUCCCUCCUCACUUUGAAAGGUGACAUCUAAGGAGCAGAGAGCAGAUUCUGUUUCACUCCCCAAAAUAGUUGUUUUAUUCAUUCUGCCAUUUACAACUUACUUCCUGUGUUUUGAUUGAGCUGCUCGGGCCUGCUUCUUAGAAGCCAGAUCUUAAGGAAAAGGAUGCUGGGACGCGUUGUUUCCGGUCAGCUCUGAAAUGCUUACCAGCGGGAGGGGCACGCUGGCAGGCCAGCCAUGGCAGACCUCACCCGAACAGAGCGAGGAAAAGGCAAGCUGGAAAACCCGCACUGGGGCGAUUUCGCGAAGAGGAGAGCAGCCUGAUGUUUUUCAUCUGAAUCCUUAGGCCUCGCUCCAGCCCCACAAAGACAAGUGGCAGGAAGCUAACAGCGAUAAUCGAAUGAGCUCAGCCAGCCUCAAAGUGGUUCUUUUUAAAAAGUGUGUGUGUGGAGGGGAGGAAUUACAGGCUCUCUGCCCAGGAGAAGCGAGAGAGAAAAGAAAUGCACUCUCCUAGAAAUCCCUGAAGUUGGCCGCCAGUGAUUCAGUCCAUACCUGCCCCAAAAAAGAAAAUUUCCUACCUAACUGGUUUGGCUGUUUCCUGGCUACUAACUGGAGAGGUAAAUAGAACCUUAUCACGGCAGUUACAUCUGACUUGGACAUGAUUUUCAAGUAAACACUGGUAAUUUCAAUGCUAUUCCAUUACCCCCUCUACUGUCUUUGGACUGACUGACAACACCGUCUCGGAUGAAACCGACUCUAUAGGAACAAGCCAGGAAAGACUGCACCUUCUACCCAGCUGGCCUCUGUGUGGCCACUGGGCGGGGCUGGGGGAGUAUGUGGGGACGUUCGCUGUGAGUGACAGGGGCUCUGCAGUUAUCUCGUCAGAUUGUAGCUGAAUGGACACAUGUCCUUCCUUUGCCCUCUGGGCCCCUCCAGUGGGUUAGUCGGGAUUUCUGCUAUUUGCUUUGCACUCUUCAGCGAAUCCAACACUGGGCAUUUAUUUCUCUGUCUCUCUCUUCAUUCAGGAAGUGGCAAGCUGAGCCCUGAGAUUCUUUCUGCUCCGAUGAUAUAAACAAAUUGCAGAGGAAGUCAAGUCAAACUUUCCCUUGCUUCUUUUGUUCUCCCAACUAGCAAUUCAGAAAACAGAGCCAAAUUUUUUUUUUUGGAUGCCUUUAAAGAUUGCUUGUAACUGGAAAGGCAGAAACUCUUAUGGUUCUUUUUUUUUUUUUGAUUGAAGUAUAGUCGGUUACAAUGUGUCAAUUUCUGGUGUACAGCACAAUGUCCCAGUCAUGCAUAUACACGCAUAUAUUUGUUUUCAUUUUUUUAAAAAAAAAACAACUUAUUUUAUUUGUACUCCUAAACGUUUUCAAAAAAGCAGGAAGUGCCCUAGAAGGUUGUUUUGGACUUUUUCUUAAGGCUCUUUUUGAGAUUUUUUUCAAACCAAAUUGCUCCCUUGACAUUGCAGUUACCUAAGUGUUCUUUCCUACAAAUUUCAACCAAAAGAGCAAUAAGGAGCUUUGCGUGGACAAUGGCUAAACCUGAUUUGGAGGUAUCUGGUGCCCGAAUUCACAGCCAAGGAGACCUAACAGUCAUGAUUCAAUAAGCUUACCAGUCCAAAGUACCCACCAGACAGAAAGGAGACAUCUUAUCUGUGUAAUCUACAGAUACUGCUUGAAAAAUCACACGUAAUUAAGCCCUUCUUCCAGUGGGAGCUCCUUGAAGCUUUAUCACCAGCUUGUCAGAUGUCAUCUCUGAGUUUCAUUGAUGGCUCUGAGAGUGAACAUUUCCAAACCAGAGGCACCUGAUAAUCCAGGUGACAUGUUUACCACGCCUAGUCUAGUCAGCUAAUAAAAGCAGCUCUGCACUCCACAACUGAAGGAAAAUAGAAUGGUGGAGAGAGAAAAAGAGAUUUGCAGGGUGGCUUCCCACACUGGCUGUUCUGUUACGUUAAUCCUGUUGCAAGAUAUAAGAUGUGACAGUCAUCCGGAUAUCUGUGUGCCUCCUUGGUCCUCGGGUGGCCCUGUCUGUACACAGGCAUGCAUUUCCCUUGAGCAACAUCAGAUGAGAAAGUGAGUUCGUUUCCAUUGCAGGGGAGUCAAACAGAAAACCCAGAGGCGGCGACUUGCGUGGAGGCCUCCCAGGUCCUGGAUGGUGUGUGUGAUGCAGGAAAUACUCCCCUCCCACUCCUGCUUUGGAUGGGACAUACUUCCUUGCCCCACUGAGUCCGGGCUCGGUCAUGUGACUUUGUUGGCUAAUAGGCUGUCAGCCUGCAGGGCGCAAGCAAAGCCUUGAAAGGCGUUCGCACCGUGGGUCUCCCCUUUUUGCGGGUCCCACGUUGCCCUGGGAAGCACAUGCCUGUUCAUCUGAGGAGGAUGAGAGACACCUAGAGCAGACCUGGCUGCAACCCACACCUUGAAGCCCAGCCCAGCCUAGAUCAUCUGAAAACCAGCCAAGUUGUAGAUGCUUUUAGAGCCCUCAAAUUGUAAAAUCUUCAAGGCCUACCGACUUGGAAUGAGCUCUGAUUAAGCACCUACCAGAUGAGCCAGACAUAUCUGGAUGCUAGAAAUACAGCCCUGAAUGGAACAGACACUUGGCCUUAACACAUGUCCACAUGCUGACACGCCUUUGAAAGGCAGAGUCCUCUCCCCUUGAGUUCAGGCUGGACCUCGGGACUUGUUUCUAAGGAGCAGAAUCCCGUGCAGAUGACACUGGGCAACAUCCAAGACUAGCCCUAAGAUACGCUGCAGUUUCUUCCUUGCUCUUUCCCUCUGGAAGGCAUCAGCAUCAUGGAAAAGUCCACAUGGGGAGGAACUGAGGCCUCCAGCCGACAGCCAUGUGAGCGUGCAUCUUAGACGCAGGUCCUCCAACGCCAGUCAAGCCUGCAGAUGUUGGCAGCCUCGACCAACAUCUCAACUGUAUCGUGACUGCUUACGAGAGGCCUUGAGCCAGAACCAUCCAUCCAGACUGUUCUCAGUGACUCCUGACCUCAAAGUGUGGGAGGCAAGAAGUGUCUGUUCUUUUCAGCUGCUAAGUUUUGGGGUUGUUUGUUACAUAGCAAGAGAUAAAUACACCAACAAGAGUCCUGGCUUCAUGAUUCACAUUCUGAUGUUUGUUCAAUGGGCACUGAAUAAACGUUUUUUGAGAAAUUGAUGAAUGACAGUAAAUUAAAUAAAUGUAUCAAAUUAUCAUCAUCCAUUCGUUUACCUAAUAUUUAUUGAGCUGCACCUUAUAUUGAUCUGUGUUCUAGGCAUCAAGCUAGAACAAUAAAUGAGAAAGAAAAACCCUCCCCUCAUGGGGCUUCCAGUCUGGUAGAAAACCAGGUUUCUGCUCUGUCGCUGAUGCUCACUCACUGCAGGAUGCUGGAACCACGCCUCCGUUUCCCAGGUGCGCUCUCGGUACUAGAAGGAAUAUGUCAUAACCCGACAGCAAACGAUCUCUGCAAAAGCAAAAUGGCCUGAAUUCUGCUAAAAAACAAUCUGUUUUCUGUACCCAUGGCAGAGAACAAAAUGCAAAGAGAACACGGAGAAAGACUGAACACAGCCGGCGGUUCCCUAAUUUCCAAGGACGACCUGUGGUCUUCGAACGUGGCCCCCCGGUCUUCAUGUCCCCUGGGAUGAGGGCUGGCCUGGUGACUUUCUAACAGACAGACAUGGUGGAGCAUCACUUCGUAAUUAGGGGACCGAGGACCGGGACGUCCACCUUGCUCACAGAUUCCAUCACCUGCUCAGCUUGUACGCUUUGAUGAAGCAAGUGGCCCUGCUGGGAACCUCCUGUGGCAAAGAGCUGAGGGAGGCCUCUGAUCAGCAGCAAGAAAAGACCUGAGGUCCUUAAUCCAACAGCCCUCGAGGAAGCCCAUGUACCAACAGCCACAAGAACUUGGAGGCAGAUUCUUCUCCAGCUGGGCUUUCAGAUGAGACCUCAGACUACACCGACACCUUGAAUGCAGGCUUGUGGGAGACCCAGUGAAGCAGGGUCCAGAUUCCCAUCCACAGAAACCGUGAGAAAAUAACUGUGCCUUGUUAUAAGCUGCUAUGGGCAGGGAGGAUAUUUUGUUACACAGCAAAAGAUAACGAAUACAAACCAACCCAGUCAACCCAUAAUAAAGAGGAAGAAAGGAAAGAGCUGGAUCAGGAGCUAGCAUCUCUGGACUCUGGCCACAUUUUGCCACCCAACUACAUCAGUGGUCUUAGAAAAGGCAUUUCCCUUUCUUGCCUCAAUUUCUUCUUCUAUAAAAGACAAGGGUUAAAUUGGGGAUUGUAAUUUUCUGUAGUUUUUCUCCUUAAAAGUCUUGUGAUGUUCCACCCUGGGCUCACAUUCUACUCAGCAACAAUCAGUAUUAGACAGACACUGUCCUCAUGAACAGGGAUGGGGUUUCCGCUCACCCCAGGCCUCACCCGGAUCAGGCAUGGCAGGUGAGGCCGUGGUCCUGAAGCAAUGACCCCUUGCAGUAGGCUGGUUCUUCUGAGGAGCAGACCGGCAGACGCCAAGUUGGGGGAAAACACGCAAGACAUUUCCUGGGGGAAACUCAUAGGACAGGAACGUGGGGAGGGAGCCAGAGGGGAGGAAUGAGACCGCAGCUCUGGUCUGACCCCUGCAGAGGAGAGAAGAAGAGAGAACCGGUGGGUAGGGGGAGUCUGAGACUGUGGCGCAGUUCUAAGAGAGUUCUGGCAAAGCCCAUGCCUCCCAGAAGGGAGCCUGCUUUAGUACCCGGGUCGCAAGCAGCCGCUGGAAAGGAGUAACCUGAAGGAGACGUGGGCUCAGCACAAAUGUGGAUUUCAGAGCAGGCAUCCGGGCCCCCGGGCAAUUACAGCCCCUGCCCUGGGAGCCCCGAGAGGCACAUGUCCAUGGCUUCCACGUCCCCUGGGGUUCCUUUUAGUCUAAAAAUCCCACCCAAAUGUGGGGCCAACAGGAUGAACAUGGUCUGCAGAUGCAUUUUGAUUGGCUUGUGGUGUUUAAUAAAAGACACAAAUGAACUUACAGAACAGAAACAGACUCACAGUCAUAGAAAACAAACUUAUGGUUACUGGAGGGAGGAGGUGGGAAGGGAUAAAAUGGGAGUUCCAGAUUUGCAGAU